CACCCGUCCCUGACAUAUCAGGUAGUGGUACACCACCACCAGCACCUCCCCCGAAAACUACAGUUUCAUCAUCCCCAAAAAAAGAAGAGCCUGGAGAAGCUGCUCCGGUGCCUGGGGAGCUGGGUAAGGGGACACCUCCAGUUCCAAAGCUACCGCUGCCUCUACCAGGGUCCGGCAGAGGAACUCCACCUCCUCCGGCUCCAAAGCUACCGCUACCUCUACCAGGGUCCGGCAGGGGAACUCCACCUCCUCCGGCUCCAAAGCUACCGCUACCUCUACCUCUACCAGGGUCCGGCAGAGGAACUCCACCUCCUCCGGCUCCAAAGCUACCGCUACCUCUACCUCUACCAGGGU
Molecule: long non-coding RNA, 354 nt
Organism: Eriocheir sinensis (Chinese mitten crab)
Lineage: Eukaryota; Metazoa; Arthropoda; Malacostraca; Decapoda; Varunidae
Exons: 2
Source: RefSeq, a predicted model, not a curated record